GAUGAACGCUGGCGGCGUGCCUAAUACAUGCAAGUCGAGCGAACAGACGAGGAGCUUGCUCCUCUGACGUUAGCGGCGGACGGGUGAGUAACACGUGGAUAACCUACCUAUAAGACUGGGAUAACUUCGGGAAACCGGAGCUAAUACCGGAUAAUAUAUUGAACCGCAUGGUUCAAUAGUGAAAGACGGUUUUGCUGUCACUUAUAGAUGGAUCCGCGCCGCAUUAGCUAGUUGGUAAGGUAACGGCUUACCAAGGCGACGAUGCGUAGCCGACCUGAGAGGGUGAGCGGCCACACUGGAGCUGAGACACGGUCCACACUCCUACGGGAGGCAGCAGUAGGGUAUCUUCCGCAUUGUGCGAAAGCCUGACGGAGCAACGCCGCGUGAGUGAUGAAGGUCUUCGGAUCGUAAAACUCUGUUAUUAGGGAAGAACAAAUGUGUAAGUAACUAUGCACGUCUUGACGGUACCUAAUCAGAAAGCCACGGCUAACUACGUG
This 497-nucleotide ribosomal RNA is filed under the name uncultured bacterium. Its description in RNAcentral is "partial 16S ribosomal RNA". It matches the Rfam family "Bacterial small subunit ribosomal RNA", at positions 28 to 507 of the family's 1533-position model. The record is from RNAcentral.